AUGGUGCGUUGCCAAAGGUCUUGGUUUCACAGCUCAAAAAUCCCACCAUUUUGUUGUUUUCAGAGUCACAGAGCCGUGUCUUUACACUCAGAGGUUUUUGUACGACGACUCAACCACUUUGUAUCACUGUGGUACACGUUCGGUGGAGGAACCAGACUGGAGGUUGGAAGUGAUGUCCGUCCCACCCUGACGGUGCUGCCCCCCUCCAGAGAGGAGCUGCAGCAGGGGAAGGCCACGCUCAUGUGUCUGGCCAACAAGGGCUUCCCCUCAGACUGGAGUCUGUCCUGGAAGGUGAACGACGGCAGCAGCAUCAGCAGCAGCUGGGAGGAGAGCAGGAGCCCCGCGGUGCUGCAGAAGGACGGCCACUACAGCUGGAGCAGCACCCUGAGGCUCCCUGCAGACCAGUGGAGGAAGGUGAACUCUGUGACCUGUGAGGCCACCCAGGGCUCCCAGUCUGCACUCUCACACACACUGAGGACACACCAGUGUUCCCAGUACUGAGCCCACUCACUGGGGAUCACCUACUGCUCUGACUCUGCUCAUCAGCUCACUCUGUCUCUCCAACUCUCUGGCUUUGUGUCAUUUCAACACUUUGAACAGCAAACAUUUUCAGGCUUCUCUCACUGCUGCAAUAUUGGUUCAGUGUUUGACCACAAAUAAACGUCUGUACAUCAAACCUGCUGUUUUUCUGUUCAUUGUUAUGUUGUGUUUUAUUCACUUUGUGCUGAUUUUGUCCA
Sphaeramia orbicularis (orbiculate cardinalfish) is the source of this 737-nucleotide non-coding RNA. The record is from the annotation of a RefSeq genome assembly. NCBI's taxonomy places the organism in Eukaryota, Metazoa, Chordata, Actinopteri, Kurtiformes, Apogonidae.